CAGGCCUAACACAUGCAAGUCGAACGGUAACAGGUCUUCGGAUGCUGACGAGUGGCGAACGGGUGAGUAAUACAUCGGAACGUGCCCAGUAAUGGGGGAUAGCUCGGCGAAAGCCGGAUUAAUACCGCAUACGCCCUGAGGGGGAAAGUGGGGGACCGCAAGGCCUCACGUUAUUGGAGCGGCCGAUGGCUGAUUAGCUAGUUGGUAGGGUAAAGGCCUACCAAGGCGACGAUCAGUAGCUGGUCUGAGAGGACGAUCAGCCACACUGGGACUGAGACACGGCCCAGACUCCUACGGGAGGCAGCAGUGGGGAAUUUUGGACAAUGGGGGAAACCCUGAUCCAGCAAUGCCGCGUGUGCGAAGAAGGCCUUCGGGUUGUAAGGCACUUUUGUCAGGGAAGAAAUCCUUUGGGCUAAUACCCUAGGGGGAUGACGGUACCUGAAGAAUAAGCACCGGCUAACUACGUGCCAGCAGCCGCGGUAAUACGUAGGGUGCAAGCGUUAAUCGGAUUUACUGGGCGUAAAGC
This 526-nucleotide ribosomal RNA is filed under the name uncultured bacterium. RNAcentral describes it as "bacterial SSU rRNA". It matches the Rfam family "Bacterial small subunit ribosomal RNA", at positions 43 to 566 of the family's 1533-position model. The record is from RNAcentral.